This 837-nucleotide ribosomal RNA is filed under the name uncultured organism. Its description in RNAcentral is "bacterial SSU rRNA". It matches the Rfam family "Bacterial small subunit ribosomal RNA", at positions 1 to 878 of the family's 1533-position model. The record is from RNAcentral.
UUAGAGUUUGAUCCUGGCUCAGAAUGAACGUUGGCGGCGUGGAUUAGGCAUGCAAGUCGCGCGACAAGCAAUCUUCGGAUUGUGGAGGAGCGGCGAAAGGGAGAGUAACGCGUGGAUACCUACCUUGGGGACCGGGAUAAGGGCCGAAAGCCCGGUAAUACCGGAUGACCUCUACGGAGCAAAGCUCAGGCGCCCUGAGACGGGUCCGCGUCCUAUUAGCUUGUUGGUGGGGUAAUGGCCUACCAAGGCGGCGAUGGGUACCGGGUGUGAGAGCAUGGCCCGGCUCACUGGGACUGAGACACUGCCCAGACACCUACGGGUGGCUGCAGUCGAGAAUCUUUGUCAAUGGCCGAAAGGCUGAACAAGCGACGCCGCGUGCGGGACGAAGGCCCUCGGGUUGUAAACCGCUGUUGGAGGGGAGGAAAUUUUGACCGAUCCUCUGAGGAAGGGCAGGCUAAGUUCGUGCCAGCAGCCGCGGUAAGACGAACUGCCCAAACGUUAUUCGGUAUCACUGGGCUUAAAGGGUGCGUAGGCGGCGCGGUAAGUGAGAUGUGAAAUCCCACGGCUCAACCGUGGAACUGCGUUUCAUACUGCCGUGCUUGAGGGAGACAGAGGUGAGCGGAACAGAUGGUGGAGCGGUGAAAUGUGUUGAUAUCAUCUGGAACACCCGUGGCGAAAGCGGCUCACUGGGUCUCUUCUGACGCUGAGGCACGAAAGCUAGGGUAGCGAACGGGAUUAGAUACCCCGGUAGUCCUAGCCGUAAACGCUGAGCACUGGGUCGGAGAUCCCCCCACAGGUUUCCGGCCGUAGCGAAAGUGUUAAGUGCUCCGCCUGGGG